Molecule: ribosomal RNA, 622 nt
Filed under: Novosphingobium sp. Se2Ps_2338
Lineage: Bacteria; Pseudomonadati; Pseudomonadota; Alphaproteobacteria; Sphingomonadales; Sphingomonadaceae
Description: bacterial SSU rRNA
Rfam family: Bacterial small subunit ribosomal RNA
Source: RNAcentral
UGCCGCGUGAGUGAUGAAGGCCUUCGGGUCGUAAAGCUCUUUUACCAGGGAUGAUAAUGACAGUACCUGGAGAAUAAGCUCCGGCUAACUCCGUGCCAGCAGCCGCGGUAAUACGGAGGGAGCUAGCGUUGUUCGGAAUUACUGGGCGUAAAGCGCACGUAGGCGGUUACUCAAGUCAGAGGUGAAAGCCCGGGGCUCAACCCCGGAACUGCCUUUGAAACUAGGUGACUGGAAUCUUGGAGAGGCGAGUGGAAUUCCGAGUGUAGAGGUGAAAUUCGUAGAUUUUCGGAAGAACGCCAGUGGCGAAGGCGACUCGCUGGACAAGUAUUGACGCUAAGGUGCGAAAGCGUGGGGAGCAAACAGGAUUAGAUACCCUGGUAGUCCACGCCAUAAACGAUGAUUACUAGCUGUCCGGGCACUUGGUGUUUGGGUGGCGCAGCUCACGCAUUAAGUUAUCCGCCUGGGGAGUACGGUCGCGAGAUUAAAACUCAAAGGAAUUGACGGGGGCCUGCUCAAGCGGUGGAGCAUGUGGUUUAAUUCCAAGCAACGCACAUAACCUUACCAGCCUUUGACAUCCCGCGCUACAUCGAGAGAUCGAUGGUUCCUUUCGGGGACGCGGUGA